AGGACGAACGCUGGCGGCGUGCUUAACACAUGCAAGUCGAGCGGUGAUCCUCCUUCGGGAGGUGAUCAGCGGCGAACGGGUGAGUAACACGUGGGCAACCUGCCCCUCACACUGGGAUAACCUCGGGAAACCGGGGCUAAUACCGGAUACGACCUCGAGCGGCAUCUCUUGAGGUGGAAAGCUCCGACGGUGAGGGAUGGGCCCGCGGCCUAUCAGCUUGUUGGUGGGGUAAUGGCCUACCAAGGCGACGACGGGUAGCCGGCCUGAGAGGGCGACCGGCCCACACUGGGACUGAGACACGGCCCAGACUCCUACGGGAGGCAGCAGUGGGGAAUAUUGCGCAAUGGGCGAAAAGCCUGACGCAGCGACGCCGCGUGAGGGAUGAAGGCCUUCGGGUUGUAAACCUCUUCAGCAGGGACGAAGCGAAAGUGACGGUACCUGCAGAAGAAGCACCGGCUAACUACGCGCCAGCAGCCGCGGUAA
This 483-nucleotide ribosomal RNA is filed under the name uncultured bacterium. RNAcentral's name for it is "SSU rRNA". It matches the Rfam family "Bacterial small subunit ribosomal RNA", at positions 26 to 523 of the family's 1533-position model. The record is from RNAcentral.